Long non-coding RNA from Clupea harengus (Atlantic herring), 3513 nucleotides. Lineage: Eukaryota; Metazoa; Chordata; Actinopteri; Clupeiformes; Clupeidae. The record is from Ensembl.
UUUUGUUUAGACUUCGUGGGAUUUCCCCUGAUGGAUGACGAGCUAUCCAGUCUUAAGGAUGAAUAUAUACUGAAGACUCCGUUGCCAUGUCCCUGGCAUACGUAAUGAGGCGAGUAACUUGCCACGAGGGUGUCUGCCACUCGCCACACUGGAGCAUGUUUUGAAUACAAGGUUAGUAAGGGGUUUACUCUUUAAAUGUGUGGAUGAAUAUGGCAAAGUAACUCUAAGCUAAAGGCAGCCAUGACUGCACGAGUACUUUGCAUCUAGUGUUAGUUCCCGAGUUGGCACGAUUCCUAAGGGUUUGCUCUUGUUCAUGGGCCAGAUUCUCCAACUACGUGCCAGAGGAGUUGGGGAGACGUUGACUGUCAUGGCUUCCCCGUGCCUGCGACAGCCACUCUACUUUCCUACAUCACCCUCUUAGUUUUAGCUUUCCUGUCAGUUUUCAUUUGAGGUAAUUGUCCUUUGUAAUACGGACAGUCAUGGUUUGCAUUAUAUGUUUGUUUCCAGGAUUGUUGGUGCAUAGGAUGUUCCUCUGGCUUUCUUGGCAUGUGCAGUAUAGAAGGCCUCAAGGUACGUGUCAACAUUUGUAGUAUAACCUCACACUUAUGCCAUAUGUCACAGCUUCUGUUGUACUGAUGGGAUGUUGUGAACUAGGCACUGAUCAAUGAUCGAAAACUUACUGUGUGGACUGUUGGAUGAAGCUUACGGAUAUGGGACUGAGAUCAGAUGUGUUUGACGUGUGUGUGUGUCUGUGUGUGUGUGUCUGUGUGUGUGUUGGAAUGUGUUCUGAUCUAUGUCCAUCUCCUCAGGUAUGGGACCUUUGGUGAGUCUUAGGCCCCGACGGGAGUCUCUACUGCCUCAUGGUGGCAGUCACACUCAUAAGGGCGUAAAGAACUAUUUUACAGACGGUCGCUGUUCAGUUGACCCGUAGCUGUAUCGGCAACAUUAAGGAAAGGUACACUUACCACAGGUUAUGCAAAAUGUGAUCUAGUUGAAGUAGAUUGUGGUAUUAAUAUGGUGGUUUUUGUUUAGACUUCGUGGGAUUUCCCCUGAUGGAUGACGAGCUAUCCAGUCUUAAGGUAAGGCAGGACGACAUCUAGGGCUUCAAUAAGUCUGGCAUUGAUGACAAACUUGCCCUCACUGAGCGUUUUCUAAACCCGAUAAUGAUCCAUUAUAUCUGAGCCAGAUAUGCCAACAAUGGUUUUACAUUUGCUUUAGUGCUUUUGCUAAACGUUGCUUGUGUGUCCAUAGGAUGAAUAUCUACUGAACACUCCGUUGCCAUGGCCCUGGCAUGCGUAAUGAGGCGAGUAACUUGCCAUGAGGGUGUCUGCCACUCACCAAACUGGAGCACGUUUUGAAUACAAGGUUAGUAAGGGGUUUACUCUUUUGUGUGGUUGAAUAUGGCAAUAAAGUAACUGAGCUGUAGGCAGCCAUGACCGCACCAGUACUUUGCAUCUAGUGUUAGUACUCGAGUUGGCACGAUUCCUACGGGGCUGCUCUUGUUCAUGGGCCAGAUUCUCCAACUACGUGCCAGAAGCGCUUCCAUGCCUGCGACAGCCACUGUACUUUCGAAACAUCACCCUCUUAGUUUUAGCUUUCCAGUCAGUCUUCAUUUUAGAUAAUUUCCUUUGUAAUACGGACAGUCAUGGUUUGCAUUAUAUUUUUGUUUCCAGGAUUGUUGGUGCAUAGGAUGUUCCUCUGGCUGUCUUGGCAUGUGCAGUAUAGCAGGCCUCAAGGUACGUGUCAACAUUUGUAGUAUAACCUCACACUUGGCCAUAUUACACAGCUUCUGUCAAACUGAUGGAAUGUUGUGAACUAGGCACUGAUCAAUGAUGUGACUUUUUUUCUUUGUGGACUGUUGGAUGAAGCUUACGGAUAUGGGACUGAGAUCAGAUGUGUUUGACAAUUAAGUGUGUGUGUGUGUUGGAAUGUGUUCUGAUCUAUGUCCAUCUCUCCUCAGGUAUGGGACCUUUGAUGAUUUCCCUUCCGAGGCUGUGGGUUCAUUUCAAGUUACUGAAGCCACACCCCAACUGAAAUAAAUAUAUUUGGGCUUUAAAUGGUUGUCUUGACUUAACUUGACAGGCAUGCAUUUCUGCAUCGACCCUUAUCAACUGUUGAUUCUGUUUUGAUUCCUUUAUUUAACUUGAUUAGGUGCUCUAUCCAAUAAAAGGGUGAACAGAUUUGGUGCAGGUCAGUUAGCUCUGUUAUGCCAAAAGUACUUGCAGGCAGUACAAAGGGUUUUCUGUAUUAUCAAUAAUGGGUGACUGAACAGUGACUUGUGUAAAAUUGAAAGGGACAACACCAGUAAGGAAGUUCAACACCUGGGCAUUUAUUCUAUUUCCAUACAACCAAAUGCCACUUGUGGUUUACACACUAAACUAGUCAAUCAUUGCAUGGACAAGGCUAAUGGGCUUGUCUGGAUCAGUCCUUGACUUCCAUCCUAAUGUACUGUCAAUGGAGGAAUGCCACAUCCCAUCAUGAUCAAACUACUGUUGCUGAUGAAUGCAUAUCUGUUCAUGAGUUCAUAAAGUACAGGAUUGGGUUCAACUCUUGAAACAGGAGAUUUGGCAGAAACGGCAAUUUAACUUAUUGGUCCUAGUGAUCCUGGAUCUCAAAUUAUCUGAUGAGACGAUCUCUUCACCCUACAUGCACCAGCCAGCACCUGUGAAGUGCAAGGCGCCGCUUGUGAUGUACUAGACAGGUAUGUAGACAGACUAUCGAUACGGAGCUGUAAACUUGAACACAUCUGCAAGCAUGAACGAAGACUCAGACCACCUGAUGUCUAAUCUUAGGAUUCCACUUCUGUAACACACACACACUUAAGGUUAUAAGCACGGAAAUCAGGGCCAGAUGUUUCCAGAGUCGACAGCAACUGGGGAAAACUUUGACGACAUGGAACCGUUGAGUGUGACUAGCCCACCAAAACCUAUCCCUGAAGGUAUCCUCUGACUUUGCGCCAGAAAUACUGCUGAUAGCCCAAAUAAAUAACUUAAUACCUGCACAUUCAUUCAGAUAUUACUUUUUUUGUUAAUCUCAGUUCACAUAAAGUAAGAAUACAGACUUCACACAUCCAAUGAAGGCAAACAGAUUCAGGAAAUGCACCAUAAGCCCUCCAAUUGAACCAAAUGUCUGAAAGUUUUUGACUAGCGGCAAGAACACCGGCUAGUGUUUAACAGCAGAGGUGAUAAUUCUCGAGUUUCCUAGUGGUAAGGAGACAUUGAAGAAAAAAUAAAAAUCUCGUUUCUAUACAAAUAUAAAAACUAAAAAAGAAAAAGAAGGCAUUUAAAAUCUGAGGUCCACAUUCCCCAUGAUUUCCAUCCCUGUCCGUCAAUGCAUCCUGGUCGCUGUAAAACUCUCCACACCACUAGAAGACAGAAAUAGCAGUAAAUUAGAUUGUGGCCAGGACAAGGAAGCUUACAUACAAAUGUAUUCACCAAUACAUAUGACUUGCACAGUACAGGUAGUAUGCAUACAUAUGUACAAUCACCUGUGCUUUAGUCUCGCACUCUAGUG